Molecule: unclassified non-coding RNA, 3936 nt
Filed under: Hevea brasiliensis (rubber tree)
Lineage: Eukaryota; Viridiplantae; Streptophyta; Magnoliopsida; Malpighiales; Euphorbiaceae
Source: RNAcentral
GAAAUUAUUCGUAAGCAACAAGAUCGUUCAAAAAAAUAAGGUACAAUUUCCUUGUAAUUAGGCAUAAAAGAUACAUGUGCAGAAAGAAAAGGUUUAAUAACAUAUAUAUCUGUACAACUCUGAAGAGUUGCAGAGAGGCACAUACAAGUGCAACUGGCUCCAUUAUGCCAAUACCUAUCUAUAUAUUCUUCCUACUUAGAACUACUAGGUAAAGUCAGCAUUGCUGCUCCGUUGUGUCUCUUCAUUCCUUGUCUUUGGAGUCCUCCUCUGGGGUUGUAUUGGCAGCAUCCAUCAGACUAUCAAAUUUCUCGGACUUCCCUAACACUAUCUCAAUCUAGAAAUCAAGGGAAAAAUUUAAUCCAGUAAGCAAUUACAUAACUAGCAAACUUGACCAUUUUAAUACCCGUAAAGAUAUCAAACGUACCUUGGCCUUCUGAACCAGUCGUCCUUUGUUUUCAUCUUUCAUGCCUACUGUAGAUGUCAAAACUUCUGCUCAUUCAGUGAGGAAAUAAGAAAAGAAUAAUUAGCCAUAUUAGCACAGCGUAGCUUUGACAAUUAAGAUUAAGGGAAAGGAAACUCACUCUUCUCGGUGGCUAAUCCAUUAUUCUUCAAUAUCUCAGCAAUUGUGACAACGGUUGUAAUUGCUGUAAUGAAAUGAAAAUUAAAAUUUAGCCAUCAUGGUGACAAAUUUUCUUUUCAUUCCUUCUAAACUUCCUCCCGUGUUUGGAAAUGCUCUUUCUUUGAAGAAAAAUCGAUUUGAUACACUUUCAAAUUUUGGUAAGGUAUCACAUUGAUUAAAUUCUGAUCAAUUAUAGCAUUUGUAUUAGAGAAAUAAGUUCUACAUCUGACAUCCUCAUACCAUUCCAUAGGGUACUACCCUCAAUCAGCAACUACUCUGACAACUAGAUAACUUCUAAAAGCCUAAGCAAAUCAAUGAAUUGCGAAAAUCUUCGUAGAAGCUUAAAUGAAAAACGAGAGAUGUUUUUGUACGACGCACGUACCCAUGCCCAAGGCAGAAAGCUCAACCUCAUCAUGUUGCUGCAUAUACCUCUUAGCGAGAUUGACAUAAAAGAAGAGCGGCUUCUUGGUGUUGGACACUUGAAUCCUGUUCUUCUUCUGCUGUGCUUGAACAGCGACGGACAUCUCAGUGGGUGUUCCAGUGGGUGCGGUUGCCGGUGUUGGUAAGGGUGCUGGUGCUACUGUCUCAACAGCCAUUUUUCCUCUAUAACUCUCUGAGUCUGUAAUUUCUUGUUCCUAAUCUAAAUUUUCUUGUUUAUAGAGCGGGAAAGUUGGGUUAUCGAAGCGAAGCGAUUGUUGGGUUCGUGAAAGUAGAGGAGACGGUUACAAAUGGUGCUGGUUUUAUAAAGAGGCGCGACCGGUAGAGGAACACGUUUUGAUUUCUCAUUGGUCGUUGACGUGGUAAGAGAAUAAGACGGGCUUGGUUUUCUUCUAUUGUUCAAAUGACGGAUUUGCCCCUUAAGUCCAUUUGCCCCUAUUUUUCUUUUUCAGUUGAUGUGUAGAUUAUUAAUUUGGUCGAAUCUUAAUUUGUUUUUCUGUUCUUUUUAUGCUGAUUGGAUUCUCCUGAUUUGAUUCUGAUUUUUUGAAGUCGAAAUAUUAUUUGCUGGAAUGGAUUGCCGUUUCCAAGUGCUUUCUUUUUUGUUUAAAUAUGUCUUGUUGAUUGGUUGCUGAUUAACCGGUGGAAAAGUAGUAUAAAAUAGAGGUUUAAGUGGGUUUUUGUUUACGUUUUUUUUAUGGUUAGAAAGGACUCUAGGUUCCUGUUGGCUGGGUCUCUACUCACUUGAAGAAUUAUCUUUAUUUUUCUCCCCGUUUUUUAGUCUGCCUAGUAGAGGCUAAAGUGGUAAUGAUUUGUUGAAAUAUUGUAUUAACCUAGUUGCCUAUAUGUUAGUCUCACAUGUUUCUGAUGGACAAUACGUGCCUUAAUUUCUUUACAUUACCUGGAAACUUUGUUUAUAAAACAAUAUGCAUUUGAGCAAUAAUUUGGUGAUUGACUUAAAUGGGUGUGGGCUUAGAAGUUUAGCGUGCGGAGAUUGUUAUAAUCAGAGUUGAUCCCUUUUCACUAUGAGUAGCACUAUGAAAUUUCCCUGCGCAAUGAAUCUUCCUUUGUUUGUCAAAAAUAAUUUGCACCGUGAGUAUUGCUUUAUUUUUUUAUUCAUUUAUUUUGUUGUGCAGUGUCCAAUGGAUUUCGAUAGUCUUGUUCCCAUCGAUGGGCUUGAAACUGGCUAUCAAAAUGGUGUUCAUGAGCAAAUUCCUGCCUCUGGGGAUGGUGUUGUUUCAAAUAAUGUAAAUGGGACUAUUGGGAAAAUUGCAGUCUCUACAGGGCCAGAUGAAAAUUUAGACAAUGCAUCUAAGUUGGAGGACUUAACUAUUCAUAUUUCAUCUGCUGGCGAGUCCAGGGAAGAGUCAAAUGUACAUGUGGGAAGCAAUGGAUUCACUGGUUCUAAGGAAGGGGAAAUAAAAGAUGCUGAACAUUCAGAGCAUGUCAAAUCACUGAAGGGUCCUGGAAAGGGCAAGAGCGAAAAGCCAUCAAACACAAAAAAUGUCUCAGCCACUCAGACUAAGAAGAGCAAGGAUGGAAAAGUUGCCAGGGCACCUCCUACUGUUUCAAAUGGUUCACUUUCAUCAAAUUCACAGUCAAAGCAGCCCUUGACAAGCAAAUCAUUCAAUGAGAAGCAGCAUUCUGGGAAGUCUGAUGUGGCAUCCUCUGAAGGCCUCAUGGAGAGGACAAAAGUGAAAGCUUUGAAGAAAGGACCUAACAUUAAAGCUGAAGGGGAGCCACAAACUCCUUUAAGUCCCACUUCAGAAGAGGCCAAACCUCGCAGGGUGGGUACACUUCCCAAUUAUGGUUUUAGCUUUAAGUGUGAUGAACGAGCCGAGAGAAGGAAAGAGUUCUACUCUAAACUUGAGGAAAAGAUUCAUGCCAAGGAAGUGGAAAAGAAUACCUUGCAAGCAAAAUCCAAGGAAACCCAAGAAGCGGAGAUCAAGUUGUUCAGGAAAAGUUUGAACUUUAAAGCAACGCCAAUGCCUAGCUUCUAUCAGGAGCCUCCACCACCUAAGGUGGAGCUAAAAAAGAUACCCCCAACAAGACCCAAAUCUCCCAAGUUAGGUCGAAGGAAGAGUUCAUCUCCUGUAGGUCCUGAAGGAAACCAUGGGCAGAGUAUUCGACCAGGUUGGCUAAGUUUAGAUGAGGGAAUGUCGCAGAACAACUCUGCCAAAGGACCUUCUCCUGUUCAUUCAAAGAAGCCACAGCGGAAGUCCCUCCCGAAACUGCCUUCUCAGAAGAGCAGUUUAUCGAAUGCAACAAAUGAUGAAAAAACUGCAUCAUCUAAAGUAACAAAUGAGGAAAAUGCCACCUUGUCUAAUCCAAUGAAUGAAAAUGCAUCUCCCAUCCAAAAAGAUGAGGAGCUAGUGGUUGGAGAGCAAGCUCAGCCUACUUUAGUGCAAGAACCAAUAGCAUCCGAGAGUUGAUCAGAGCAGCACUGGAAUCAGAAGCUCUACAAAGGCCUUGAAAAUCCGUGUCCGUAAAUAAGUGGUCAAGACUUGAAUCAUCGCACAAUGAAGCUAUGGAUUGUGAUGUCAUGUUUGUCAGUAGUCAGCAGCAUUGGUUGUUUUGUGUGCCUGCUUGCAUGGCUGCUGAUCUUCUCAAUAGGAUUCUUUAUUCUGCUUGCAGCAUUGUAUGUUACCAUUUGCUAAAAUUACCUUAUUUAUGUUGUUAAGCAUACUUUAUCCGUUUGCUUAUUGAAAAAAAAAAUAUAUAUAUUUUUGGAAAAAGUUUAGAGGAGUCUGCUGCUAGAUAGCUUGAGGUUAGAAAGUGCUGUCUGUUUGAUGAUGAAGGCUGGUUUGUUCUGUUGUAUAUCAUGGGAAUCCUUGUGUUCUUUCUUCUUGCAUUUACCAUAAAAUGAAAUUUUAAAAUAAAAA